UUAUCUAGAAACCCGUGAAAACCCACAGCCCCAAUUCUCCCUCUCUCUAUCAAUCCUCACACGCAAGAACUCAUUCCCUUCAAACUCUCUCUUAACAGUCAACUUCUUAAGCAUCCAACCACUCAUCGCCUUCUGUUCGACGGCAGUGCCUCCGACUACUGUUUGUCUCUGCCGACGCUCGUCGUCAGGUCGUCUUCGUCCAGUCACCGGGUACCGCCGCUCUUUCUCUCCCUCUCUUUCUCCCUCUAUCUCAUACAUACGCAUGCAACACAGAAGAGAACAUCGUUGCAUCGUUGCAUUCCCUUCUUGUUGCGCCGUCGAAGUUGAACCCCCCCUCACUGGUCAGCUUUGGAUUGGAGUUUUAGAGGCUUUUGAGGUGGUGUCCGACAAGAUUAAGAUUGUUCAAAUUUCUUUUUGGGUAAGUUUUAGGGGUUUUGUUGAUCUUCUCGACCUGAUCUUGAAUGUCCAUUUAAUGUAGGUCUAAUUUUAUGUUGCCCACAAUAUUCAUGCUUUAAAUUGAGUUAAGCUCGAGCUAUCCAACACCUUUAAAGGUUGUUUUUGGUUGAAGUCCUCAAUCAAAAUUUGUAGUUUUGGAUCAAGAAACAAUUUGGGUUUGAUUCAAGAUUUAUAUAAAGUGGUUGACUAGGAUAAAUAUUUGAGCUUAUAUCCGAGGUAAGUGCCUUUACUACUAGAAUGCCUUCGUGCCAGGCAUUUUAGUUCCUUAGUUUUAGUUGGAAAUAAGCAAAUUUAGAAGCAUGUAUUAGACCUCAAGAAUUUGAUGUAUGUUAAAUGAUUCAGUUAUGUUCAUGUCAGAACCAUGGAAAUGUUCUAAUCACUAUGAUGUGGGACCCUAGAUAAAUGUUUUAUGAUUCAUGUUCAAUGGUGACAAUUUCCCUUCUAACACUAGCAAGUUUUUGUGAUCUUUCGGGUUCACUAUUAUGUUAUCGAGAGCUGAUGGGUUCCCUACCAUGUUACCAUGAUCCUUCGGGUUCAUUAGCAUGUUCAGCAUCGUGAUCCUUGGGCUCACUACCAUGUUUAGCUCCGGGGACUGACGUGUUUCCUAGCAUGUUUCUAUGGUUUCAAGCCACCAGAUACGUAUUAGAAUGUGUUUAAUUGUUCACUAGAUGACCAUCCAUGUUUUCAUGUUUCCAAGUGUUCAUGGUCUCAUGUUUCUUUGAUGAAUUACAAUAUAUUUGUCCCACCAAUAUGCAUUUGCAUAUAUGUAUGCAUAGCCUGACCCCAACAGUAUGGUUACUUAUUGAGUAUUUUAUAUUCAUCCUUUAUUAUGAUAUAUUUUCCAGGUAAGGGCAAAAUACUCUAACGAAUGACAAUAAUAAUUUGUGAUCGUGUCAAUGGGACUAGCUAAACGCUUCUGCACGUGUUCUUUUUCAUGUUCUCGUGUUAUAGUUGUUAGCAGUCUAAUAUUUGGAGUUUUUAAUUAUUUUUUAAUUUUAAACUUAUGUUUUUAGGGGGACCCCGAGAAAGUGUUUUAUGUUCUUUAAACCAAGUGGAUUAUUUUGUUUGUUCAUUUCUUGUAAUAAAUAAUUUGUUUCUUUCCA
Molecule: non-coding RNA, 1559 nt
Organism: Benincasa hispida (wax gourd)
Lineage: Eukaryota; Viridiplantae; Streptophyta; Magnoliopsida; Cucurbitales; Cucurbitaceae
Source: RefSeq, a predicted model, not a curated record